This 467-nucleotide ribosomal RNA is filed under the name uncultured bacterium. Its description in RNAcentral is "partial 16S ribosomal RNA". It matches the Rfam family "Bacterial small subunit ribosomal RNA", at positions 28 to 506 of the family's 1533-position model. The record is from RNAcentral.
GACGAACGCUGGCGGCGUGCUUAACACAUGCAAGUCGAACGGAAAGGCCCUGCUUUUGUGGGGUGCUCGAGUGGCGAACGGGUGAGUAACACGUGAGUAACCUGCCCUUGACUUUGGGAUAACUUCAGGAAACUGGGGCUAAUACCGGAUAGGAGCUCCUGCUGCAUGGUGGGGGUUGGAAAGUUUCGGCGGUUGGGGAUGGACUCACGGCUUAUCAGCUUGUUGGUGGGGUAGUGGCUUACCAAGGCUUUGACGGGUAGCCGGCCUGAGAGGGUGACCGGCCACAUUGGGACUGAGAUACGGCCCAGACUCCUACGGGAGGCAGCAGUGGGGAAUAUUGCACAAUGGGCGGAAGCCUGAUGCAGGAACGCCGCGUGCGGGAUGACGGCCUUCGGGUUGUAAACCGCUUUCGCCUGUGACGAAGCGUGAGGGACGGUAAUGGGUAAAGAAGCACCGGCUAACUACGG